Triticum aestivum (bread wheat) is the source of this 3973-nucleotide long non-coding RNA. RefSeq lists it as uncharacterized. The transcript is spliced from 2 exons. The record is from RefSeq and is a predicted model, not a curated record. Lineage: Eukaryota; Viridiplantae; Streptophyta; Magnoliopsida; Poales; Poaceae.
CUAAAAAAAGAAGCCCUCCUCCCGUAUCCCUAACCUUGUGACGCCUACCAUCGCGCCGCCACUUCCCAUGGAUCGCGCCGCUGCUUCCGAUGGAUUGUGUCGCCGCUCUGCUCACCACCGUAGUCGUCACAGCCUAUCCCAGCAGUCGUCGCUGCCCACCGCAUCCAGCCGCUGUCGCAUCUCACCGCCUCCACCGCCCCCAUGAAUCACCGCCUCCUCUCUUGGACCAGCAUGCUGCGGUGUAUGCUUCCGGUCCCGUUGUGGCGACACGGCUCGUCAAGGGAACGCGAUGAGGCGGAUUGUGUCUCGUUCGUUGAUCUGCCCCACUUGCUGCUGCUCCUCUCCCAUCGACCGUCACGUCAACAUUUACCGCGACACACGACGUUCUCCUCUUCUCCGACGAUGCUUAUAAGCAACAAUAAUGGUGUCCUGUUGUGGCCCAACACUCAUCGGACUGCUGACGCAUGGAAGUGCCCGGAGAAGAUCACUCUCCGCUUAGCAAAUUCCACCGUGUUCUGAAUGGCUGCCCAACAAGACGCUCUGCCGGAUGUUCAUCAUCAGCGCCAGUCAUGGGUUCGGGCUACUGUGGAACUCAUGGCAUCAACCAUAUGAACCUGCAUGUAUUUGAUAGUUUGCUCGAUCAGUUUUAUGCCUUCCACUACAGCUAAGGCUACUACGCAACUUCAUUGAGAUUUUUUCUAUAGGACUUGGAUUAAUAAUCCCCAACAAUACAGUCACACUUCUUAUAAAUUUCAGGUAUAAAUACAUUUGUGAUUUUCUGUAUGUUGUACUACUAACUGUGUGCUAUACCAAGCAUGGCAUCUGCGCUUUUUCAGAUAUGCAUGCAUUAUUCAAGAGAAUUUAUCUAAGAUGUAGUAUAUAGAAAGGUACCUAAAAUGUUAGCUUAUAUUGCCAACUCUUGAAAAUAUACGGGCCUUUUACUUUUUUUGCCACGAACCAUGGGAUUUCAUGAAUAAUACCCAAUGCAUUGCUUACUGUUGUCCAGUGUACUACAGUUUAGUAUGUAAAACUUGACCUUUGUUUGACAAGAGAAUGUCUGCUAACUCCCAAACGGACUGACUUUCGAGAACCAAUUUAGGUUGUGAUCAUUAGUGCGUCUUCAAAGCUGCUUCACAUAACAUAACAUUUGAUUUUUACUAAUCUGAAAUCAAGCCUAAGCAAUGUUAAGUAGACCUUUGAAUUCUUAAUAAGGAAAUUACACAAUCUGUUAUGUGUGUUGUAGAAUUAGUGUUGUUUGAAAAUGUUUUUCUUCUUACCAAUCAGGUUCAUGAUUUUGACUGUCGAUGCAGACGCUGUGCUGGAUGUUCAUCAUUGGUGGCAGUCAUGGGUUCAGGCUCCUGUGGAACUCAUGGCAUCGACCAUAUGAACCUUCAUGUAUUUGAUAGUUUGCUCGAUCAGUUUUAUGCCUUCCACUACAGCUAAGGCUACUACGCAGCUUCAUUGAGAUUUUUUCUAUAGGAUUUGGAUUAAUAAUCUCCAAUAAUAUGGUCAUGCUUCUUAUAAUUACUUUUAGGUAUAAAUACAUUUGUGAUUUUCUGUAUGUUGUACUACUAAACUGUGUGCUAUACCAAGCCUAAGCAAUGUUAAGUAGACCUUUGAAUUCUUAAUAAGGAAAUUACACAAUCUGUUCUGUGUGCUGUAGGAUUAGUGUUGUUUGAAGAUGUUUUUCUUCUUACCAAUCAGGUUCAUGAUUUUGACUGUCGAUGCAGACGCUGUGCCAGAUGUUCAUCAUCGGUGGCAGUCAUGGAUUCAGGCUCCUGUGGAACUCAUGGCAUCGACCAUAUGAACCUUCAUGUAUUUGAUAGUUUGCUCGAUCAGUUUUAUGCCUUCCACUACAGCUAAGGCUACUAUGCAGCUUCAUUGAGAUUUUUUCUAUAGGAUUUGGAUUAAUAAUCUCCAAUAAUAUGGUCAUGCUUCUUAUAAUUACUUUCAGGUAUAAAUACAUUUGUAUUUUUUAGGAGAAUUUAUCUAAUAUGUAGUAUAUAGCUAGAAAGUUACCUAAAUGUAUAUUGCCAAAUCUUGAAAAUAUACGGACCUUUUACUUUUUUUGCCGUGAACCUAGGCAGCUUGGGACGGAGUAGGUGUCAAUAGUAAGUAUAUACUAGAACAUUUUUUUUAUGAUUGCUAGAACAAUAUUUCUGCGAUAUUGUAUAUACUAACAUAGUGACUGUGGAGUACUAAUUCAAAGUAUAUACUAUUGUACUGUAUUUUGUCUAAAUACCAUCUAUAUCAAAGUAGUACAUAGACUGCUCUUUGUGCACGGCAGUAUGUAGCAUACAAAAUGAAAUCAAAUGGGUAUAUAACAUACACUUUGAUAAAGUAAGUAUAUACUUUUUUUCUGGUGCAGUAUAUACAACAUUUUUGUAAGGCAAUAUAUAGUACUUUUUAAGUGAACCAGUAUACUACCCUUUUUAUUCAGUAUAUACAUAAUCUUUUAGUCGAUAUAUACUACUCUUUCUGAGUAGGUAUAUACUACUGUUCUUGAUAUAUAAGGCAACAUGCAAAUUCCAUGCCGCCUUGUGGACCAGUGCAUGCCAUGCCAACAUUGUUUCUUAUUACCACCGUUGUUGACAAUAUUGGUGGUGUCGUCACAUGGAUCAAUCAGUGCACCCCACGCUGUCGCUUUGUCAACGAGAUGGUAGUGCCGUCUUAUCCAUCGAUCAAUGCACCUACUUAUUAACGUCGCAUCGGCUAUGUGACUAGCUGCGUCAGUGGCUUUGCACCUCGAUCCAGAUUACUUUCAUGCAAAGCCUGUCAUGUUUGCCUUAUGUGCAGGAAUAGGCAAGCACAACAGAAGACCUGAUCAUAGACACUCAUAGUCUGAGGUAAAUACUCCUUCAAUGCAAGCUGUCAAAUAGUUUUCUUUUAUCUUGAAAACUGUAAAUUUAUUUAAAAAAUUGUGGUAACAAAUUUAUUAAGUUAUUAUGUGGGAGAGACCAUCAACUAAUAAUAAUAUAUAAAACAAGGGUAGGCUAGAAAAAGAUACAUCAUUCUUAGAAAAUUGUACUAACAAAGUUGUUAAGUUAUUACGUGGGAGAGACUCAACUAAUAAUAUAAAAACAAGGGUAGGCAGUAUUAUCGGAAAGAUUGGACGCUACUUCUUCCUCCAGGCCUCACGCUUCUCCACCAUCUCUUCCUCUCCUGGUUAGAAAAUAACCUCAAUCAAUUUUCCUUAUUUGUAACUUUUUCGGCUGUGCUAAUGGAGCUUAUACUAAAAACUGUUUUCCUCAUCUGCAUCAGGUUCAUUUUCUUACAAUAUUUUGUUAUAUGUUUUUCCUUGCAGGUUUAUCUUGAAUACACAAUAACUUUGGAUUUGAGAUCACUUUGUUUUGUACCAUGUGCUUGGAUAGAGUUGUGCCCUACAGGGAUGCAAUCCCGGCUCUUCUCACUAGAACCUAUGGAUACCUCAUGGAGAUUUGUUGGAGCAUAAUCUUCUAAUGUACAACCUAUGUAUACAUAUGGACAUCGGAGGGAGCAUAAUUAUGAUCAUCAAGCGAGCUUAUAAAAACCUGCCGUCUAAACAGACUACAGCGGCAUGAAGGAGGCUAAUGUCAGUUGUCAACGUCGUCACUGGUCAAGUUACUAAUCAAUUUUUGUAUCGACAAAACAUGUCCAGGACCCUCCAUGGGAGAGUUAACAUCUUCAAUGGCCUUCCCAAUCUCCAGUUACGGCUGAUGUUGUUGCUUGAUAUGCUGGUCCACCACAAUCUCCUGUUCAUGGAAGUUCCUUGCCAAGCUGCCAUGUCCUGGCCGGAGAAUUGACUUCUCAUGAUUUUUCUUCUAACCCUUUUUUCAGUCAGCAGAUAGUGCAGAUAGUUAGGCAGUGAAACACUUGACAAUGAAGAUGUUUGUCAACUACUAAAACAUUGAUAGCUUCUGUUAUACUGUAUAUCUGAAUAAACAAUUUUGCGGGCAAUUUUUUUGCAUAAGUAAAGGCAUGUGAGAACUGCUAA